This is an RNA transcript of Vitis riparia (riverbank grape), 2584 nucleotides long. It is a transcript of the gene named pentatricopeptide repeat-containing protein At1g08610, with no coding region annotated. Lineage: Eukaryota; Viridiplantae; Streptophyta; Magnoliopsida; Vitales; Vitaceae. The transcript has 3 exons. The record is from RefSeq and is a predicted model, not a curated record.
AGUUAUUAACGUCCAUUGUUUAACAAAUAACCAAACUUUGACACUCCUGCAGGGACGAAACCGAAGCUUAGCCAAAGGGAACUUGAAUUAAGCUCUGUUUGUAUGCUAAGAAAGUUGUGAGAAAAGAAAAUCAAGGAGCUUAUUCUGCUAAGCCAGUAGAGGGAUAUGGAGCUUACAGUUAUUGCUCAUAAAUCCAUAACCGAAGUUCCUUGUUUGCAUGGAUUCCAAACGGACCUCACUUCUGCUAGUGACUGCUGUUCUCCAGUGAAAUCACAAGCAUUUCACUUAAAUUGUUCGGUCAACUGUAAUUUCAAAACUCAGUCUUAUCUACAAUGGAAGGGAGAUCAUGUUUCAAGAAGAAAUGCAUUGUUGCUACGGUGUAUGGGCCAAGAGAGAAGUGUUUGCAUUGAUAGAGUUAAUGGGGAGGAUCAAGAAUGGAGCUCAGGAAGAUAUGCUUUUGGGGUUGAGAAGAAACUAAGAGAACAAAUGAGUUCAAAGAAAUAUUCAAAUUCUUCAAAUUCUUCUUUAGAUGGAUCUUUUGUUGGAAAUGAUGAAGAAACCAACAAUGAAAUCCUUCAGAAUUUGUGCAGCAAAGGGAAGUUAGUUAAUGCAUCAAGAUUGAUAGAUGUGAUGGCGCGUCGAAACCAAAUUCCCUAUUUCCCUUCAUGCAUAAACUUAAUCAGGGGCCUAAUUAAACUCGAAUCUACAGAAAGAGCUACUAGGGUCCUAAAAAUCAUGGUAAUGUCUGGUGGGAUUCCAGAUAUUAUUACAUACAAUAUGUUGGUUGGAGGCCUCUGCAAGAAGGGACUAUUAAAAACUGCCAUUGAACUCUUGGAUGAAAUGAGCUUGAGUGGCUGCCCUCCUGAUGCAAUUACUUAUAAUACAAUACUGCGCUGCAUGUUUGAUCAUGGUGGUUUUGAUCAGGCUAUUGGAUUUUGGAAGGACCAACUGAGAAAAGGUUGCCCUGCUUAUUUGAUCACCUACACAGUUCUCAUUGAGCUAGUCUGCAAGCACUGUGGGACUGUCCGGGCAAUGGAAGUAUUGGAAGAUAUGGCGAUUGAGGGCUGUUAUCCUGAUAUUGUGACUUACAAUUCUCUGGUUAACUAUACUUGUAAACAGGGGAAAUACGAAGAUACUGCUUUAAUCAUAUAUAAUCUGUUAUCACAUGGGAUGGGGCCAAAUACUGUAACUUACAACACUCUGCUCCAUUCUCUUUGCACCCAUGGAUAUUGGGAUGAAGUAGAUGAGAUCCUCUUGAUCAUGAACAUGACUUCCCAGCCUCCUACUGUUGUUACUUAUAAUAUCUUGAUCAAUGGUUUGUGCAAGUAUGGGCUUCUGGAUCGUGCUAUCAAUUUCUUUGAUCAAAUGGUUUCCCAUAACUGUUUGCCUGACAUCAUCACUUAUAAUACACUGCUGGCUGCUCUUUGUAAAGAGGGAAUGGUAGAUGACGCCUUGCAUUUGCUUCACUCUCUAAAUGAUACCAGAUGUUCUCCUGGUUUGAUCACUUACAAUAUUGUGAUUGAUGGAUUGGCUAAAAAGGGCUGUAUGGAGAAAGCAAUGGGAUUAUAUGGUGAAAUGAUUGAGAGAGGGUUUGCUCCUGAUGAUAUUACUCAUCGUACACUGUUUUGGGGGCUUUUCAGGCUGGAUUUAGUGGAGGACGCUUUGGUGAUACUGAAGGAGAUGAACAAGAGAAACCAGAGGAUUAAAAAUAGUGCUUUCAGGUUUGUGAUCCAUGGAUUAUGUAAAAAAAAGAAGGUGGAUAUUGCAAUACAAGUUCUAGAAAUGAUGGUCUCAAGUCCAUGCAAACCCAAUGAGGAAAUUUAUUCUGCUAUAAUCAAAGGUGUAGGUGCUGCAGGAAUGAUAGAGGAAGCUAAUCAGUUACACCAGAAGUUGACUGAAUUGAAGGUUUUUAGAGAAGAAACCAUGCCACAUUAGUCAGAGUAGAUGCUAUACUUUAAUGCUUUUCAACAUUUCUGAGGGGCUUCUCAUCAGCUUGUUGAUCAGUUACAGUUGUACAGAAUAUUCCAUCACAAGAAGUGGUUCCUCUCGUCCCUCUCUGGAGCUUUGAUGCAGGCCAGAUCCAUUGAAACAUUGGAAGGGCUGCUUGUUCAUCACUGCAUAUGUUUCUGACACUCGAGGUGAAAUCUUCCAGCCAAAUUUCAGUCUCUUGAUAUUUCCCAACCAAAUUUCUGCCACUUGAUAUUUCUUAUACUUGCUGGAACAUCUGCAUGGAACUGUUUGGAGAAUGAUGACUCAACUUUUUCUGGGUCAUGCCCACCUUGGCAGAUUUGUAUGAAAAAUAGACCAAUGAUGAUCCUUAUUUGUUACCACUCAUUAGCCAUUGGGAUGUCUCCUGAAAAAUCGUAUCAGUUUAAACUGUAUUUGGUAGCAUUAUCUUCUCUCUGAAUAGUUGUUCCAGAUGUGAGCAUUUAUGAAAUAAUUUUGUUUCAUUUUUUUUUCAAAAUAUUUUUUGGGAGGAUCUACCAUGCCUGCAAAUGGGCCGCUUUCUGGUGAUUUAUAUUUGCCUUCACAUUGCAUGAACUGAAGAUUAAAUGAGAAAAUGGACUGGGUCAUCAGAGUGAGG